This 306-nucleotide unclassified non-coding RNA is filed under the name Agaricus sp. RNAcentral's name for it is "partial contains 5.8S ribosomal RNA, internal transcribed spacer 2, and large subunit ribosomal RNA". Lineage: Eukaryota; Fungi; Basidiomycota; Agaricomycetes; Agaricales; Agaricaceae. The record is from RNAcentral.
CGCAUCUUGCGCUCCUUGGUAUUCCGAGGAGCAUGCCUGUUUGAGUGUCAUUAAAUUCUCAACUCUCUUAUACUUUGUUGUAAAAGAAAGCUUGGACUGUGGAGGUUUGCUGGCCGCUAGUUGAGGCCAGCUCCUCUGAAAUGCAUUAGCAGAACCGUUUGCAAUCUGCCACAAGUGUGAUAACUUAUCUACACUGGCAAAGGGGGAUUGCUCUCUGUGUUGUUCAGCUUCUAAUUGUCUCGGGUUGAUGAGACAACUUCUUGAAUGCUUGACCUCAAAUCAGGUAGGACUACCCGCUGAACUUAA